CUGACGGCCUGUGAGGGACCAUGUGGGGCUGGGGGUGGAUAGGGGAGCUUGACUCUGCAGUCCCCAGGGCAGUCUGAGUCCCCAGUGCCUGGCGUGGGUGAGCUCAGGGCUGCUCCGUAUGGGGGCAUCCAGGCCUGGCUGCUGAUGCCCUGUGGCUGAGGACACCUCCAUCUGCAUGAGCCAGUUUGGAAGUCCAGCUUGCCCCCCAGGCAGUGGAGGCCAGAGUCAUUUUGGAUUUGGGCUGACCUGGUAGACUUCUGAAAGACAGUGCUCUGGGUUCAAGUUGUCCUCAGGGCUGGAUGAUCCAUAGCAAAUAUCCCCUGAUGGAUAAGCAUUGUGCUGAGAGACUUGCCUCCAUCAGCUGUGUAAACCUCAGGAUGACCUGCACACAGGUAUACUAAGGCACACAGAGACCAGCUCGUAGUCAGUGACAAGUAACUUGCCAAGAGCUGUGGUUUAAAAGCAUGUCUGCAAAUUCUUGGACACUCUUGUCAUCCAGAAAUAGAGUCUAACCCUCCUCCCUUGAAUACGGGCUGGCUUCAGUGGUGGAAAUGACAAUGUGUGAGUUUGAGGUUUGAUUAGAAAAGAUGACACAGCCUCUGCCUGACUCUCAAGGCCCUUGUUCUUGGACAUUAGCUGCCAUGCUGGGAGGAAGCCCAGCAGCCACACAGAGAGGCCACGACAGCCGAGGUCCCAGCCAAGCCAGCAUCAACUGCCCAACACGUCAAUGAGUGAUCCUGCAGAGCCUCCCAUCUCCUAGCCACCGCAGCUGAUGCUCUGAGAGCGGAGGCAAGCUGUCCUUGCUGGGCGCUGCUUAAACUGCAGAUGUAUGAACAAAAUAAAAAUGGUGGUUAUUUUAAGACACUACAUUUUGGGUCUCUAGGUGUUUGGGGGUGGUUUUUCUCUAGCAAUAGGUCCCCAGUCUUGUGCUUUUAGGGUCCUUGUCAAGAAGAAA
RNAcentral lists this long non-coding RNA (955 nucleotides) under Homo sapiens (human). Its description in RNAcentral is "HSALNT0353518". Lineage: Eukaryota; Metazoa; Chordata; Mammalia; Primates; Hominidae. The record is from RNAcentral.